GGGUUUUUAUAGUUGAAUGACAAAGCAGCCGUAGAAGAGAUGAAAAGAUCAGUCACAUGGCACAAGUAGGACAUAAAAAAACAGUAAAAAGGCUGCCAAAUAACGCGGUUUUAAGGUCCCGCUGUGGCUACUGAAUUAUUUUUGUUAAAUAUGGGACAAAAUAUUUUAGUCCAAUCAAAUGCUUCAACUUGUGAUAAUGUGAU
Molecule: unclassified non-coding RNA, 203 nt
Filed under: Hevea brasiliensis (rubber tree)
Lineage: Eukaryota; Viridiplantae; Streptophyta; Magnoliopsida; Malpighiales; Euphorbiaceae
Source: RNAcentral